UAGUGUUUUUUUCUCUGUGAACUAGAUAAGGCUUCAAAAUAGUUAAAAAAUAUGAUUACCCAUUAGGGCAUAUUAGCUCUUGUCUCAAUUUCAAUUUCAGGUCCCAUGUCCAUGUUCAAUAAAACCUUAAUACAACCCAAUGUUUGGGAUAUUUUGUAAUCAUGCCAUAAAAAUAACAUAGUUAGUUCCUUAAAAAUCAGUAAGAAUCUAUAGUAAUGGGGUUUCGGAGUGAUAUUGAGGCGUGGGGCAAAAAUUUGCCAAGAAAGAAACCAUCCUCAAAAGGAAAAUCAUCAACCAAAACGUCCGGGACCGGGAAAACACCAUCAAAGGAUCCAUCCAAAAAUAACGCCAAAGCACCGUCUUCGAGUUCACCACCUAAGUCCCCAAAUAGUCUUUCUCCUAAAUCCUCGAAAUCUUCACCGUCCACUAAAACUUCAUCUAAAAUCGUUCAAGCAGCAGAAGACAUCCUGCACCAGGCACCACACGUCGUAGACCUCAACGGCAGACUCGAUGCUAACAAAAAUUACAACGUAUAAAAUCAGUAUGAUUUUUAGUCCAUUAGCAUGCAUCAAAGAAAAUAAAACCACUCUAAGUGUUUAUGAAUUCGCAUUGUACGGCUGGAAGAAGAUAGCACUCCAAAAGUAACUAAGGAACACUUAAAAUGGGAUCAGUAGUCAGUUAGUUGUCUGAUAAAAACCUAUGUAGGGAAUUAUAAUGUGAAGAGAGCUUUGUUGAAAUGGGUUGCUGCAAAAGAUUUAAAAAGUGGCUCUGUACUGAUAAAACGAAAAAAAAGAUAAAUCAAGAAAAUACUACAGCAGAAUUCACUACCGAAUCUGAAUCACUUUGUGAGUCUAUGAGACGAUCUUUCAGCGAUUUAAUAAAUUUAGCAACAACAGCUGUCGAAAAUACGACCAUUGUAAAACAACAUGAACAAGAAAAAACUCUAUCAUCCACUACAUCUACAGAAGACCAAUCAAAUGUACGCCCUGUUUUCCUUACAGACCGAAAUUUUUGCAUUAUAGGUGGUGCAUUAAUGACUUUAUUUGUAAUUUUUACAAUAUUUUUUAAUCGGUGCUUUGUCUCCUUUCGUUGCCGACGUCGCCCAUGAAUUUUUGAUCGGUAAUGGAUAAGUAUUUUCUAUCUAUCAGAUAGCUAACUUACCUACUUUUGAGUAUCGGCUAAUAAAACAAUUAUUUGUAUGCACCUAA
This is a long non-coding RNA of Plutella xylostella (diamondback moth), 1208 nucleotides long. RefSeq lists it as uncharacterized. NCBI's taxonomy places the organism in Eukaryota, Metazoa, Arthropoda, Insecta, Lepidoptera, Plutellidae. The record is from RefSeq and is a predicted model, not a curated record.